RNAcentral lists this transfer RNA (44 nucleotides) under Reticulomyxa filosa. It matches the Rfam family "tRNA", at positions 1 to 44 of the family's 71-position model. Rfam says of the family: Transfer RNA (tRNA) molecules are approximately 80 nucleotides in length. Lineage: Eukaryota; Foraminifera; Reticulomyxidae. The record is from Rfam by way of RNAcentral.
GCGGGUGUAGCUCAAUGGUAGAGCAGAAGCCUUCCAAGCUUACG